Molecule: ribosomal RNA, 363 nt
Filed under: Triticum aestivum (bread wheat)
Lineage: Eukaryota; Viridiplantae; Streptophyta; Magnoliopsida; Poales; Poaceae
Description: partial small subunit ribosomal RNA
Rfam family: Small nucleolar RNA Z247 (bases 139-277)
Source: RNAcentral
AUGUUUUCGUCACAAUCACUCAGCCGCGUCAACAACAUCCGGACAACGCUGAUCAAUGCGCAGAAGGGCAAUCAAUCGGUGGCCACCUUCUUCGCCGCCAUGAGGGGUCUCGCCGAUGAACUUGCCGCGGCGAGAAAACCCAUCAAGGACGACGAGUUGAUCUCCUACAUCAUCCGUGGGCUGGACCAAGACUACCAGCCCCUUGUCUCUACACUAGAUGCCCGUGUCACUCCGGUAACUCUCGAUGAACUUUUUGCCAUGCUCAGUAACUUUGAUCAAUACAUGGCACAGUAUCAUGGUCCCGGCGGUGGCUUCAAGUCGUCGGCAAACUCUGCAUCCAGAGGCCGCGGUGGUGGCUCUUGA